RNAcentral lists this ribosomal RNA (396 nucleotides) under uncultured Pseudomonas sp. Its description in RNAcentral is "bacterial SSU rRNA". It matches the Rfam family "Bacterial small subunit ribosomal RNA", at positions 986 to 1382 of the family's 1533-position model. Lineage: Bacteria; Pseudomonadati; Pseudomonadota; Gammaproteobacteria; Pseudomonadales; Pseudomonadaceae. The record is from RNAcentral.
AUGCAGAGAACUUCAGAGAUGGAUGGUGCCUUCGGGAACUCUGACACAGGUGCUGCAUGGCUGUCGUCAGCUCGUGUCGUGAGAUGUUCGGGUUAAGUCCCGUAACGAGCGCAACCCUUGUCCUUAGUUACCAGCACGUUAUGGUGGGCACUCUAAGGAGACUGCCGGUGACAAACCGGAGGAAGGUGGGGGAUGACGUCAAGUCAUCAUGGCCCUUACGGCCUGGGCUACACACGUGCUACAAUGGUCGGUACAAAGGGUUGCCAAGCCGCGAGGUGGAGCUAAUCCCAUAAAACCGAUCGUAGUCCGGAUCGCAGUCUGCAACUCGACUGCGUGAAGUCGGAAUCGCUAGUAAUCGUGAAUCAGAAUGUCACGGUGAAUACGUUCCCGGGCCUU